CAGUAGCCGCGGGAAUACGAAGGGGGCUAGCGUUGUUCGGAUUUACUGGGCGUAAAGGGCGCGUAGGCGGACUGAUAAGUCAGGGGUGAAAUCCCAAGGCUCAACCUUGGAACUGCCUUUGAUACUGUUUGUCUUGAGUUCGAGAGAGGUAAGUGGAACUGCGAGUGUAGAGGUGAAAUUCGUAGAUAUUCGGAAGAACACCAGUGGCGAAGGCGACUGACUGGACAAGUAUUGACGCUGAGGUGCGAAAGCGUGGGGAGCAAACAGGAUUAGAUACCCGGGUAGUCCCUGUCUCUUAUAC
This 301-nucleotide ribosomal RNA is filed under the name uncultured bacterium. RNAcentral's name for it is "partial 16S ribosomal RNA". It matches the Rfam family "Bacterial small subunit ribosomal RNA", at positions 509 to 807 of the family's 1533-position model. The record is from RNAcentral.